This is a long non-coding RNA of Pogona vitticeps (central bearded dragon), 2272 nucleotides long. The record is from Ensembl. Lineage: Eukaryota; Metazoa; Chordata; Lepidosauria; Squamata; Agamidae.
AACUUGAAGCUGGAUGUAGGUUUGUGAAAUAACCAUGCCCAUCGCAGACAUGACUUCUCGGCCUUACACCUUUCAAGAAAGUCCUCCUGGUCACAGAGACUGGUGAAACCUUAGGAAGGAAAACCUCCAGAACAUGGCCAAACAGCCCGAAAAACCUACAGCAACCAGAAAUUAAUUUCAUUUUAUACAUCUGAUCUCUUGAUAAUACAAAUAAAUUUAACAUUUUGCAUUUUAGCUUUACAAUAGCCAGCUUUCGUAUUGUGACCUGAAAGCAUUUCGCGUACAUCUUACAGAGCAAUCCGAGCACAAGGUCACAGAUAAAACUCCUGCUGCACGAAUCCUCUGGUAGCUCAGCAAUGGCUCCUUCCAGAAAAAAGCACAUGCGCUGGUCACCCAAAUCCAUCCAAGCGCUCAUCAAAGAAAUAGAAAGCCUUCCUGAGGGUAUCCGCCUCAUGGGAAGCUCAUCAGCCCCAAACUUGGCCAUCUGGAAAAAAGUGGAGAAAAAGAUGGCCAGAAGGAAUUACCCCUGGAAGGUGUCCCAGCUCAGGAACUGCUGGAAGAUGAUCAAGUCAAAAUUCUACACGGAGCAAGCCUUUCACAAGAUCUACAAGGCUCACAGUCGUGAUCCUCCUCCAUACUAUCAGUCAAUGCUUCGGCUGUGGAAGCGGGCAGGGAAGCCCAUCUUCAGGGACAGACGCCGCACAGCCAACAAGCCCUGCCAACGGCAGCCGCAACGUCAGCGCCCACAAGUGAAGAGGAGGCAACGCGUCCUCUCAUUACCAAGGCUCGCGGAUGAGCCACUCCCACCUGUGGCACCUGCGGCUGCAGCAAGACUGCCGAAUUCCUCGGGGCUGGGCAUGGCGCAAGGAGAGGAGCCAUUGCUGGAAGAAGAGGAGGACACUGAGGUGGAGGAGGAGGAGGAGGAGGAGGAAGAGGAAGAAGAGGAGGAGGAGGAAGAGGAGGAGGAGGAAGAGGAGGAGGAGGAGGAAGAGGAGGAGGACGAGGUGGAGGAGGAGGAAGAGGACGAGGUGAUGGCGGUGGAAGAAGGGACUAGUAGGACGGCCACCUUUGAACUCAUGCCAGAAAUCUAUGUGGGACAAGAAGAAGAACCUGCACACAGAACUGGGACAACAGGCAGAGACAGGGGAGAAUCCCCACACCCAUCCACUUCUACAGCCACAAGAGGUGCCGUCCCAGGUGGGUCUGGGACGUGGAGCCUAAGAUCCCGUGAAGUCAACGCUACGUCUCUUCUGGGGAAACAGCCCUUGAAAGGAAACAGUCGCCAAGGGAAAGCAACCACCACCUUUGCAAGAACAGGACAAAAUGGGCCCGGGGCCGUGCAAACAGCAUCCAUUGAAGCAGGAAGGCGAGCCGCUUCAUUGGAGGAUGUGAUGGGCCAGCUGGAGGUUCUAACCGAAGUUAUCCAGUCUGCUGUAUUACACUUUAACCAAGAAAUUAAAGUGAUUAAAGAGCGGCUGAGAUGCCCAGAGGAGAGUUCCCGGAACCAGCAAUGAGACUCUGCACCAUUCUUUUGUAUCACUUAAGCAAAUUAUUAUAUUCUGUGCAAUGCUGACAUUUUUAUUUAGUUUGCUUAACUUGCAUGCCCAGGACAUUCGUCCUGACUUCCUUUGUUGAUGGAAUUUUGUUCACUUGAUAAAGUAAUUUCAUGUUGUGUCUGAUACAGGGGGGAAAUGUAAAACAGAAGGGUUGGGGUUUAAGGCCUUCUUCUCCCCUUUUAUAGAAUCAAGGACAUCAAGCCCAGCCCCCUGUUGAAUCGCUUUUCCCCUCCACUUUUGUUGCAAAAAGUGUAGGGGGAAAGCAGCUUUUUGCAACGAAAGUGUAUGGGCAAAGCAGGAAUCACUUUCCCCCUACACUUUUUCCAAUGAAAGUAUAGGGGGAAAGUGAUUCCUGCUUUGCCCCUACACUUUCAUUGCAAAAAGUGUAGGGGGAAAGCAGCUUUUUGCAACGAAAGUGUAUGGGGAAAGCAAUUCUUGCAACAAAAAAUGGUUAGCAACUUUUUGCCAUAUGCUUAUACUUAGCUCCACUGUUAGAAUCUCUAUACUGUCUUCUUCCACAAGAGCCUCAAUAUUUCACUUCCAUACUGUCUAUGAGGUCUCUCAGCUGCAAGUUUCAAAGUGGGCAAUUUAGAGCAUUACUGGUGAGUUCCUGAAUAUCAGAGUCAUGCAUCUGGCAGGGCUGAUACAGUAACAUUUAAGCUGUUGACGGACCCUGUAUAUGUUAAUAAAGAUUAUAAUUAAUUUUGACCCUAACA